GAAAUGCGAUAAGUAAUGUGAAUUACAGAAUUCAGUGAAUCAUCGAAUCUUUGAACGCACAUUGCGCCCGCCAGUAUUCUGGCGGGCAUGCCUGUUCGAGCGUCAUUUCAACCAUCAAGCCCCGCGCUUGUGUUGGGGACCUGCGGCUGCCGCAGGCCCUGAAAACCAGUGGCGGGCUCGCUGUCACACCGGGCGUAGUAGAUUUUAUCUCGCUCAGGGCGUGCUGCGGGUUCCGGCCGUUAAAAAGCCUUUUUUACCCAAGGUUGACCUCGGAUCAGGUAGGAAGACCCGCUGAGCUUAAGC
Molecule: unclassified non-coding RNA, 303 nt
Filed under: plant metagenome
Description: partial contains 5.8S ribosomal RNA, internal transcribed spacer 2, and large subunit ribosomal RNA
Rfam family: 5.8S ribosomal RNA (bases 1-105)
Source: RNAcentral